RNAcentral lists this long non-coding RNA (362 nucleotides) under Anas platyrhynchos platyrhynchos (common mallard). RNAcentral's name for it is "lncRNA (ENSAPLG00000030139.1)". The record is from RNAcentral. Lineage: Eukaryota; Metazoa; Chordata; Aves; Anseriformes; Anatidae.
AGCCAGUGCCGUUACCUUCCCGCAGAAUUGCCUAAGUGGGACUGGAGCGAGGCAGCCUUCAGCUUUGCUGUGUUCCUAGCAGAGGCUACUGAGCAGGAUGCUGAUUUCCAGGGUCAUUUCUGCUUGACUUCAACGGAGCAAGAGACGAUGUUCCUCGCCUGCUGCCAGCCCCCUCGCAGCGAGCACGUGGAGCCUGUUUUGUUGGUCUUCUGUACCCUGCAACACCACCAGGAGGGAGCUGGGGCUCCCCAGGUUGAACUCUGCCGAAUUUAUAACUGGGAGCACCUGAGCUGCCUCUGAAGCUCUCACUGACAAAUUAAGGGGAAAAUUCAAUUAUAAAUCAUCGGUUUCUGGGUGGUUGG